AAGGCUUCAGUACGAUUAAGUCAGAACUAUAAGUCUCAAAGCCCCGACGAGUAGGGUGGCGUGCCGGUGCGCGUUGAAGGCCAAGACGUGAGUCAGGCUGGAGCCGCCGGUAGUGCAGAUCUUGGUGGUAGUAGCAAGUACUCUGGUGAACCAACCUGGAGCUGUGAGGUCUGGAUUAGGGUUCCAUGUCAACAGUGAUUGAACAUGGGUGAGUCGAUCCUAAGCCAACUGUGAAAGCAGUGACAUCCCGACAAUGGGGCAUUACGUGAGCCGCUCUCGAGUAUCUCUAUCUCUCUCUCUCGAUCGAUCUGACUACAAGGUGUUUGGUACGCAAAAUGCGCACAUUACAAAAGUACAAGUGAGUGUGUGCGCGCGCUGCUCUGGGUGCGCUCAUUAGCGCUGGCAAAUAAAAAGAGAGAAAGAGAGUGUGGCUUAGCGUGAGAUUGCAAUUGCAUGGCCCUUGCGUCUGGUUCUAUGUCUGGCGAAAGGGAAUGGGGACUUUGUUCCUUGACCGGUCCCGGCACCCUCGAUUGGCUCUGCCAAUUAAUGGUCCAUGCAAAUGGAACCAGGCCACAGCCGCCGGCAGUCGCCCGAGGAAGAGUUUUCUUUUCUGCUUAACGCACGAGGUCAUCCCUGGAAACAGUUCGGCUGGCGAAAGGGUGCCCCGUUGCGGCAGAGCGCCACGACUGUCGUGCGCGUCUCGGUGUUCCUGCCGGUCCGUGAAGACGUGGUCGAGGGGAUUGCUCUUGUAUCAACGAAACGCCCGACAAGUUCGGGACGGACCGUACCCUAUAUCCGCAUCUGGUCUCCAAGGUUCGUAGCCUCUGCAGAGUCAGACACAUGUAGGUAAGGGAAGUCGGCAAACUCGAUCCGUAACUUCGGGAAAAGGAUUGGCUCUGAGGGCCGAGCUGGGCCGGGCCUUGCCUGCAAAGCAGUACCUAUAGUGACCGGAGUUUCAGGAGUGCGAGGGGCUCUAGUAGCUGCUUGCGCGUGUGUGUGCGCGUUCGCGCGUGCGCGCGCGUGUGGGCACGAACGAGUCCACCGCUCCGCUCCAACCACGAACGGCUGUGACGGCAAGGGCUCUGGGCGGGAGCGAUCAUACCGUUGGCCUCCAGCUCGUCUGGCUGGCGGCGGUGCUCCGUCUGACCCAUACGGCUCCAGCGGCUAGCGGCUAACUCAGAACUGUCAUGGACCAAGGGAAUCCGACUGUCUAAUUAAAACAAAGCGUCGUGACGGCCCC
This 1240-nucleotide ribosomal RNA is filed under the name Niphargus sp. ND489. RNAcentral describes it as "partial large subunit ribosomal RNA". It matches the Rfam family "Eukaryotic large subunit ribosomal RNA", at positions 1363 to 2171 of the family's 3401-position model. The record is from RNAcentral. Lineage: Eukaryota; Metazoa; Arthropoda; Malacostraca; Amphipoda; Niphargidae.